Long non-coding RNA from Rhinolophus ferrumequinum (greater horseshoe bat), 1042 nucleotides. RefSeq lists it as uncharacterized. The record is from RefSeq and is a predicted model, not a curated record. Lineage: Eukaryota; Metazoa; Chordata; Mammalia; Chiroptera; Rhinolophidae. The transcript is spliced from 3 exons.
UGGGGACCAGGUGUUGUCACUCUUGGGUCACCGACAACAGACCAAGCCAAGGGCCACGGACCUGGCAGAGUUGCUUCAGUUCCACAACUGUUCCUACCUGUGGCCCCAAAGAUGUCUGUGUCUGGUCCCUGGCAGGCAACUCUGUGACCCCAGAUGGCAGAGGGGGCUCUGCAGAGGUGAUUAAGGUUAAGGGUUCUAAGAUGGGGAGAUUGCCCUGGGUUAUGCUGUGCGCCCAGUCUAAUCACAUGAGUCCUUCAAAGUGGAAGAGAGAGGUGGAAGAGAGGGUCAGAGAGACAGGACAGAAUGGAAAAGAGGGACUCGACCCACCAUUGCUGGCUCUGACGAUGGAGGGAGGGGCCACGGGCCAAGCAGUGCAGAGGCCUCCAGUUGCCCAGGACAGCCCUCGCCCACGGCCAGCACGGAAACGGGGACCUCGGCCCUACACCUGCAAGGAACCGAAUUCUGACAACUCAGAUGAGCAAGGAGACGGACCCUGGCCUGGAGCCUCCAGAAGGAAACAGCCCUGCUGACACCUGGAUCUUGGCCCAGUGUGACUGCUAGACGUCUGACCCCAGCACUCUGCCCGACAGUCGUCACAGAUAAUCAGUGAAAGCAGACCCAUGGUGCUCCCUUCCUGCCUGGCAUAAACCCUGAAGGCAAAGCUCUGAGCUGACUCCAGCAUAACUGGUGCAGCAUGAUGCUCGUGAGGGAACAGUGGACCUUUCAGUUUGAUAUUAAAAAAGGAGCAAUCCACGUCGACCCAAGGAUAAAAACCCAGAAAAUCUCAUGUGGGCAUCCGUCACCACUGUAUUAGCUGCUGCCUGUUGAGAGCAUCUGGGAAGUGUGGGCGGCUUUGCACGUGCCCCUCAUUUAUGCCAUUUGUGCCUGCCUCGUAGCACACCUCUGCAGGAGGCCUGGCUGUGACCUCUGCUUCAUGAGGGCCAAGCUGAGGUCACACAGCCAGUACAUCAUCGAGCCAAGACUCCAUGCCAGUUCUGGGAGCCACUGAUCAUUCACCAGAUAUGAGAACCUCCCACAUUAG